UCGCGGAACCCCUGAAAACGGCAGAUAUGAUCACAAAGGGGAAUUCAUCGCGCCAUUUCCAUCAGACUCCACUGAAAAGCGGAACUUUGGGCCUCGUCGAAAUAGUUUAUUUUCUCGUUCGGAGCCUUUCCUGCAUCACAAUGCUACUUAGUCAGGCAACACCAGCGUGUUCCCGCCACGCAUUAGCACGGGAGUCACGCAUGAAUGUUAUCGGACCAAACGACCGUAAACUGCAAUUCUAAAGAAGCGGCCGGGAUUAAAAUUACAUCCCUCCGGCGAGAAGCGGAUUUAAAGAGACGGCUCACAAUCAAUCCGCACACGCCAAUAUAAUUAUGAGAAGAAUGGAUGGCUUUUGAAAAUGUAGCACGGUAAACAUGCUUGCCGGUGUUUUAUAUAGAAAUAUUUUCCUCAGCGAAAAGCAAUCGGAGACAGGAUGGGAAGUCUACACUUUUCCUUGAAGAAAGCCAUUAUACAGUGGGAAUGGGUGAAAUAAAUCUGAUAUUAAACUCGGACAGUGAUAUGACCUUAAACCACUGUUAGAGGCACCAUGAAAUACUGGCUUGCAGUGCAACCAGUAUGAGUACACACACCAUAACAGCAAUUCCCCAGGGAACACCGAUGAAGAUAUACACAGAAAAUUCCAGAAGUCAACCGUAAGAUAUAGCACAAGCUUGAAAGUAAGCCAGAGCACCACAGAUGAAGUCACAGCAGACAUUAUGGGGACCGGUUAGUACUGUUUUAGUGACAGAGCGGGAGUAUAGUUGCCAGAUGUACAGGUCUUCCCUUGAGACAAUAGGAGCGGUUAGUAAUGGUUUAGUGACAUAGCGGGAGUAUAGUUGCCAGAUGUACAGGUCUUCCCUUGAGAUAAUAGGACCGGUUAGUACUGGUUUAGUGACAGAGCGGGAGUAUAGUUGCCAGAUGUACAGGUCUUCCCUUGAGAUAAUAGGACCGGUUAGUACUGGUUUAGUGACAGAGCGGGAGUAUAGGUGCCUGAUGUACAGGUCUUCCCUUGAGAUAAUAGGACCGGUUAGUACUGGUUUAGUGCCAGAGCGGGAGUAUAGGUGCCUGAUGUACAGGUCUUCCCUUGAGACAAUAGAACAGGUUAGUACUGGUUUAGUGACAGAGCGGGAGUAUAGUUGCCUGAUGUACAGGUCUUCCCUUGAGACAAUAGGAGCGGUUAGUACUGGUUUAGUCACAGAGCGGGAGUAUAGCUGCCUGAUGUAUAGGUCUUCCUUUGAGACAAUAGAACAGGUUAGUACUGGUUUAGUGACAGAGCGGGAGUAUAGUUGCCUGAUGUACAGGUCUUCCCUUGAGACAAUAGAACAGGUUAGUACUGGUUUAGUGACAGAGCGGGAGUAUAGUUGCCUGAUGUACAGGUCUUCCCUUGAGACAAUAGGAGCGGUUAGUACUGGUUUAGUCACAGAGCGGGAGUAUAGCUGCCUGAUGUAUAGGUCUUCCUUUGAGACAAUAGAACAGGAUAGUACUGGUUUAGUGACAGAGCGGGAGUAUAGUUGCCUGAUGUACAGGUCUUCCCUUGAGACAAUAGGAGCGGUUAGUAUUGGUUUAGUGACAUAGCGGGAGUAUAGUUGCCUGAUGUACAGGUCUUCCCUUGAGACAAUAGAACAGGUUAGUACUGGUUUAGUGACAGAGCGGGAGUAUAGUUGCCUGAUGUACAGGUCUUCCCUUGAGACAAUAGAACAGGUUAGUACUGGUUUAGUGACAGAGCGGGAGUAUAGUUGCCUGAUGUACAGGUCUUCCCUUGAGACAAUAGGAGCGGUUAGUACUGGUUUAGUCACAGAGCGGGAGUAUAGCUGCCUGAUGUAUAGGUCUUCCUUUGAGACAAUAGAACAGGUUAGUACUGGUUUAGUGACAGAGCGGGAGUAUAGUUGCCUGAUGUACAGGUCUUCCCUUGAGACAAUAGAACAGGUUAGUACUGGUUUAGUGACAGAGCGGGAGUAUAGUUGCUUGAUGUACAGGUCUUCCCUUGAGACAAUAGGAGCGGUUAGUAUUGGUUUAGUGACAUAGCGGGAGUAUAGUUGCCUGAUGUACAGGUCUUCCCUUGAGACAAUAGAACAGGUUAGUACUGGUUUAGUGACAGAGCGGGAGUAUAGUUGCUUGAUGUACAGGUCUUCCCUUGAGACAAUAGGAGCGGUUAGUAUUGGUUUAGUGAUAGAGCGGGAGUAUAGUUGCCUGAUGUACAGGUCUUCCCUUGAGACAAUAGAACAGGUUAGUACUGGUUUAGUAACAUAGCGGGAAUAUAGUUGCCUGAUGUACAGGUCUUCCCUUGAGACAAUAGGACCGGUUAGUACUGGUUUAGUGACACAGCGAGAGUAUAGUUGCCUGAUGUACAGGUCUUCCUUUGAGACAAUAGAACAGGUUAGUACUGGUA
Molecule: RNA transcript, 2389 nt
Organism: Brienomyrus brachyistius
Lineage: Eukaryota; Metazoa; Chordata; Actinopteri; Osteoglossiformes; Mormyridae
Exons: 3
Source: RefSeq, a predicted model, not a curated record